Molecule: ribosomal RNA, 449 nt
Filed under: uncultured bacterium
Lineage: Bacteria
Description: partial 16S ribosomal RNA
Rfam family: Bacterial small subunit ribosomal RNA
Source: RNAcentral
AGCGAACGCUGGCGGCAGGCCUAACACAUGCAAGUCGAGCGCCGUAGCAAUACGGAGCGGCAGACGGGAGGGUAACACGUGGGAACGUGCCCUUUGGUUCGGAACAACCCAGGGAAACUUGGGCUAAUACCGGAUAAGCCCUUACGGGGAAAGAUUUAUCGCCGAAGGAUCGGCCCGCGUCUGAUUAGCUAGUUGGUGGGGUAAUGGCCCACCAAGGCGACGAUCAGUAGCUGGUCUGAGAGGAUGAUCAGCCUCACUGGGACUGAGACGCGGCCCAGACUCCGACGGGAGGCAGCAGUGGGGAAUAUUGGACAAUGGGCGCAAGCCUGAUCCAGCCAUGCCGCGUGGGUGAUGAAGGCCCUAGGGUUGUAAAGCCCUUUCGGCGGGGAAGAUAAUGACGGUACCCGCAGAAGAAGCCCCGGCUAACUUCGUGCCAGCAGCCGCAGUAA